UGGGGAAUAUUGCACAAUGGGCGCAAGCCUGAUGCAGCAAUGCCGCGUGUAUGAAGAAGGCCUUCGGGUUGUAAAGUACUUUCAGCGGGGAGGAAGGGAGUAAAGUUAAUACCUUUGCUCAUUGACGUUACCCGCAGAAGAAGCACCGGCUAACUCCGUGCCAGCAGCCGCGGUAAUACGGAGGGUGCAAGCGUUAAUCGGAAUUACUGGGCGUAAAGCGCACGCAGGCGGUUUGGUAAGUCAGAUGUGAAAUCCCCGGGCUCAACCUGGGAACUGCAUCUGAUACUGGCAAGCUUGAGUCUCGUAGAGGGGGGUAGAAUUCCAGGUGUAGCGGUGAAAUGCGUAGAGAUCUGGAGGAAUACCGGUGGCGAAGGCGGCCCCCUGGACGAAGACUGACGCUCAGGUGCGAAAGCGUGGGGAGCAAACA
Molecule: ribosomal RNA, 427 nt
Filed under: uncultured bacterium
Lineage: Bacteria
Description: partial 16S ribosomal RNA
Rfam family: Bacterial small subunit ribosomal RNA
Source: RNAcentral